UACGUAGGGACCGAGCGUUGUCCGGAAUCAUUGGGCGUAAAGAGCGUGUAGGCGGCCACUUAAGUCCUGCGUGAAAUCUUGCGGCUCAACCGCAAGCGGUCGUGGGAAACUGGGUGGCUAGAGUGCGGGAGAGGAGAGUGGAAUUCCUGGUGUAGCGGUGGAAUGCGCAGAUAUCAGGAAGAACACCCGUGCGAAGGCGGCUCUCGUGGAACGCAACUGACGCUGAGACGCGAAAGCGUGG
This 241-nucleotide ribosomal RNA is filed under the name uncultured bacterium. Its description in RNAcentral is "partial 16S ribosomal RNA". It matches the Rfam family "Bacterial small subunit ribosomal RNA", at positions 524 to 764 of the family's 1533-position model. The record is from RNAcentral.